GGUCAAGUGAAGAAGCGCAUACGGUGGAUGCCUUGGCAGUCAGAGGCGAUGAAAGACGUGGUAGCCUGCGAAAAGCUUCGGGGAGUCGGCAAACAGACUUUGAUCCGGAGAUGUCUGAAUGGGGGAACCCAGCCAUCACAAGAUGGUUAUCUUGUACUGAAUACAUAGGUGCAAGAGGCGAACCAGGGGAACUGAAACAUCUAAGUACCCUGAGGAAAAGAAAUCAACCGAGAUUCCCUUAGUAGUGGCGAGCGAACGGGGACUAGCCCUUAAGUGGCUUUGAGAUUAGCGGAACGCUCUGGAAAGUGCGGCCAUAGUGGGUGAUAGCCCUGUACGCGAAAAUCUCUUGGUCAUGAAAUCGAGUAGGACGGAGCACGAGAAACUUUGUCUGAAUAUGGGGGGACCAUCCUCCAAGGCUAAAUACUACUGACUGACCGAUAGUGAACUAGUACCGUGAGGGAAAGGCGAAAAGAACCCCGGAGAGGGGAGUGAAAUAGAUCCUGAAACCGUAUGCGUACAAGCAGUGGGAGCAGACUUUGUUCUGUGACUGCGUACCUUUUGUAUAAUGGGUCAGCGACUUAUUUUCAGUGGCGAGCUUAACCGAAUAGGGGAGGCGUAGCGAAAGCGAGUCUUAAUAGGGCGUCUAGUCGCUGGGAAUAGACCCGAAACCGGGCGAUCUAUCCAUGGGCAGGUUGAAGGUUAGGUAACACUGACUGGAGGACCGAACCGACUACCGUUGAAAAGUUAGCGGAUGACCUGUGGAUCGGAGUGAAAGGCUAAUCAAGCUCGGAGAUAGCUGGUUCUCCUCGAAAGCUAUUUAGGUAGCGCCUCAUGUAUCACUGUAGGGGGUAGAGCACUGUUUCGGCUAGGGGGUCAUCCCGACUUACCAAACCGAUGCAAACUCCGAAUACCUACAAGUGCCGAGCAUGGGAGACACACGGCGGGUGCUAACGUCCGUCGUGAAAAGGGAAACAACCCAGACCGUCAGCUAAGGUCCCAAAGUUAUGGUUAAGUGGGAAACGAUGUGGGAAGGCUUAGACAGCUAGGAGGUUGGCUUAGAAGCAGCCACCCUUUAAAGAAAGCGUAAUAGCUCACUAGUCGAGUCGGCCUGCGCGGAAGAUGUAACGGGGCUCAAACCAUACACCGAAGCUACGGGUAUCACGUAAGUGAUGCGGUAGAGGAGCGUUCUGUAAGCCUGUGAAGGUGAGUUGAGAAGCUUGCUGGAGGUAUCAGAAGUGCGAAUGCUGACAUGAGUAACGACAAUGGGUGUGAAAAACACCCACGCCGAAAGACCAAGGUUUCCUGCGCAACGUUAAUCGACGCAGGGUUAGUCGGUCCCUAAGGCGAGGCUGAAAAGCGUAGUCGAUGGAAAACAGGUUAAUAUUCCUGUACUUCUGGUUAUUGCGAUGGAGGGACGGAGAAGGCUAGGCCAGCUUGGCGUUGGUUGUCCAAGUUUAAGGUGGUAGGCUGAGAUCUUAGGUAAAUCCGGGAUCUUAAGGCCGAGAGCUGAUGACGAGUUGCCUUUAGGCGACGAAGUGGUUGAUGCCAUGCUUCCAAGAAAAGCUUCUAAGCUUCAGAUAACCAGGAACCGUACCCCAAACCGACACAGGUGGUUGGGUAGAGAAUACCAAGGCGCUUGAGAGAACUCGGGUGAAGGAACUAGGCAAAAUGGCACCGUAACUUCGGGAGAAGGUGCGCCGGUGAGGGUGAAGCACUUGCUGCGUAAGCCCACGCCGGUCGAAGAUACCAGGCCGCUGCGACUGUUUAUUAAAAACACAGCACUCUGCAAACACGAAAGUGGACGUAUAGGGUGUGACGCCUGCCCGGUGCCGGAAGGUUAAUUGAUGGGGUUAGCUAACGCGAAGCUCUUGAUCGAAGCCCCGGUAAACGGCGGCCGUAACUAUAACGGUCCUAAGGUAGCGAAAUUCCUUGUCGGGUAAGUUCCGACCUGCACGAAUGGCGUAACGAUGGCGGCGCUGUCUCCACCCGAGACUCAGUGAAAUUGAAAUCGCUGUGAAGAUGCAGUGUAUCCGCGGCUAGACGGAAAGACCCCGUGAACCUUUACUAUAGCUUUGCACUGGACUUUGAAUUUGCUUGUGUAGGAUAGGUGGGAGGCUUUGAAGCGUGGACGCCAGUUCGCGUGGAGCCAUCCUUGAAAUACCACCCUGGCAACUUUGAGGUUCUAACUCAGGUCCGUUAUCCGGAUCGAGGACAGUGUAUGGUGGGUAGUUUGACUGGGGCGGUCUCCUCCUAAAGAGUAACGGAGGAGUACGAAGGUGCGCUCAGACCGGUCGGAAAUCGGUCGUAGAGUAUAAAGGCAAAAGCGCGCUUGACUGCGAGACAGACACGUCGAGCAGGUACGAAAGUAGGUCUUAGUGAUCCGGUGGUUCUGUAUGGAAGGGCCAUCGCUCAACGGAUAAAAGGUACUCCGGGGAUAACAGGCUGAUACCGCCCAAGAGUUCAUAUCGACGGCGGUGUUUGGCACCUCGAUGUCGGCUCAUCACAUCCUGGGGCUGAAGCCGGUCCCAAGGGUAUGGCUGUUCGCCAUUUAAAGUGGUACGCGAGCUGGGUUUAGAACGUCGUGAGACAGUUCGGUCCCUAUCUGCCGUGGACGUUUGAGAUUUGAGAGGGGCUGCUCCUAGUACGAGAGGACCGGAGUGGACGAACCUCUGGUGUUCCGGUUGUCACGCCAGUGGCAUUGCCGGGUAGCUAUGUUCGGGAAAGAUAACCGCUGAAAGCAUCUAAGCGGGAAACUUGCCUCAAGAUGAGAUCUCACUGGAACCUUGAGUUCCCUGAAGGGCCGUCGAAGACUACGACGUUGAUAGGUUGGGUGUGUAAGCGCUGUGAGGCGUUGAGCUAACCAAUACUAAUUGCCCGUGAGGCUUGACCAU
Molecule: ribosomal RNA, 2891 nt
Filed under: Pseudomonas moraviensis
Lineage: Bacteria; Pseudomonadati; Pseudomonadota; Gammaproteobacteria; Pseudomonadales; Pseudomonadaceae
Description: 23S ribosomal RNA
Rfam family: Bacterial large subunit ribosomal RNA
Source: RNAcentral